This 441-nucleotide ribosomal RNA is filed under the name uncultured bacterium. RNAcentral describes it as "partial 16S ribosomal RNA". It matches the Rfam family "Bacterial small subunit ribosomal RNA", at positions 338 to 795 of the family's 1533-position model. The record is from RNAcentral.
CCUACGGGAGGCAGCAGUGGGGAAUAUUGCACAAUGGAGGAAACCCUGAUGCAGCGACGCCGCGUGAGUGAAGAAGGAUUUCGGUAUGUAAAGCUCUAUCGGCAGGGAAGAAAAAAGACGGUACCUGACUAAGAAGCCCCGGCUAACUACGUCCCAGCAGCCGCGGUAAAACGUAGGGGGCAAGCGUUAUCCGGAUUUACGGGGGGUAAGGGGAGCGUAGACGGUAUGGUAAGUCUGAAGUGAAAGCCCAGGGCUUAACCCUGGGACUGCUUUGGAAACUGUGAGACUAGAGUGCUGGAGAGGUAAGUGGAAUUCCUAGUGUAGCGGUGAAAUGCGUAGAUAUUAGGAGGAACACCAGUGGCGAAGGCGGCUUACUGGACAGUAACUGACGUUGAGGCUCGAAAGCGUGGGGAGCAAACAGGAUUAGAUACCCCAGUAGUC